This 71-nucleotide transfer RNA is filed under the name Marmota monax (woodchuck). RNAcentral describes it as "tRNA.Gly". It matches the Rfam family "tRNA". Rfam says of the family: Transfer RNA (tRNA) molecules are approximately 80 nucleotides in length. Their secondary structure includes four short double-helical elements and three loops (D, anti-codon, and T loops). Further hydrogen bonds mediate the characteristic L-shaped molecular structure. tRNAs have two regions of fundamental functional importance: the anti-codon, which is responsible for specific mRNA codon recognition, and the 3' end, to which the tRNAs corresponding amino acid is attached (by aminoacyl-tRNA synthetases). tRNAs cope with the degeneracy of the genetic code in two manners: having more than one tRNA (with a specific anti-codon) for a particular amino acid; and 'wobble' base-pairing, i.e. permitting non-standard base-pairing at the 3rd anti-codon position. The record is from RNAcentral. Lineage: Eukaryota; Metazoa; Chordata; Mammalia; Rodentia; Sciuridae.
GGGGUUGUGGCUCAGUGGUAGAGUGCUCGCCUCCCAUGUGUGAAGCCCUGGGUUCAAUCCUCAGCACCACA